AGGAGAUCUGGCAGCUCUGCCUCCAGACUCAUGUGGACAGUGGAUCUCUUGGGACAACUGGUUGAAAGUCUCUCUGUCUCUGCUGUUACUCCUGGCUGUGUGUGAGUGGCUGAGUGGGCUGGUGCUCUGCUGUGUCUCCAGAGUGAUUUAUCAGUUUUGCAGGGAGGAGACAGAGGGGGAGAGAACUCCGGUAGCAGGGCAGGCAGCAGUUACCAGCCUGCUGGCUGGGUGUGUUAACUCCACAUCUGACCUCUCUGGGAACGGUGCAGCCUCCACUCCUCUCCUCUCCUCCCCUCCCGGCAGACUGUGGGAACACGGGAGACAGCUCUUCAUUUUAAACCCUCUCUCUGCUUCUUUCUGGGCUGUUGAGCUCCAGGAAGCGGCCCUGGACAGAGCAGAACAUGACAAGACAGGACAGUUUUGGCAGUGAGACCUCAGUGGGAGACCUGGGCUCUGAGGAUUGCACUGCUGACUGAUUCUUGGAUCUGAAAUGGCACAGUUGGCAGAGUUACGCUCAGUCAGGCAGCCGAGCAGUUGUCUCGUCUGUCAUUAGCCAGUCAGAUGGUUAGUUAGCCAGCUAGUAAAUUGAUCAGUGGUGUCCUCCCCAUAGAGUCAACUCUUCCACUUUGUGCGUAUCCUCAUCUGAACUCUAAGGUGACUCAGACUUGCCGAGUAGCAAAAGCGGACCUGUGGGCAUGGUCACAGGUGCUCCACAGCUGCUGCGGACGAAGGCAUCUGGAGCCUAGGAAGAUGUUGGACAAGAUACAGAGGAUGGAGAAGGGCAGAGAGGUGCAGAGUGGAUCCAGUCUGCCCCUGGCUGUGGUGGGGAGGGUUCCUGGCACCGUGAUUUGAUGCACAUAGAGAAACAAAAAUCACAUUGCCAGGGAUUUCCACUCUUUCACAGCUCAGCAGGUGACCGCAUUAUAUUUCCACAGUGGGAAGCUUGUGUGUUGUCUUCUUGGCUGUUCUGUUUUUCAGUUAUUUUCUGGCACUGUAUGUUGCUAUGAAGUUGAAGGAAUAUACAUUGUAGGUGGUUAGACACAUAUUGUGAUCUACUCUCAAUAGACUUCAAGAGGUUAACUUGUGAAGUCAGUUUCUCACACGGAAAACUGUGAAAACACGUGUUUCCCUUAAAUACUGUCUUUAAAUGCAUUUAAGGCUGUAGUCAAAUGUGCAGCUGUCUGAAAUUUAAACUGUAUUCCUUAAUUUCCCAUUUCAAAUCAGCCAGGAGGUCCAUGUAUAUGCAUGAGAGCCAUCCAGCUUUACAUGAUAGAACAAAUUUUUGGAGGCAGAUCACGUUUCGAACAACUUUUAAAUGAAGGCCAAUAUCCUACAUUGUCAGCACACUCUGAAACACAAUCUGAGUUAGCCGUGUUGAAGGCAACACAAACCUCAACAUCAUAACCAUUGCAAGCUUUGAAACCCACCAAACUUUACCACUGAGCAGUCACGUAAAGGUCUGCGUGAGUCUGUUCCCUCAAAAGCCAGCCACCUACUUGCUAAAGGCACAGAGCUUAGCUAAUUGGUGAGCAUUGAUCCCUGCUAUGUGUUGUUCACAGUGGCUAAGUUCAGUGCCUGAGGUGAAAUAGUUGAUUCAACGGAGGGGAUUUGUUCCGGUGACUGGAAAGAACUUGAUGAUCUCGGAUAUGAAGAAAGGAGGAGGGAGCAGGAGAAGAGGAGUGACGAGAGAUUAGGUGGGAGGGAGGGAGAUUGGGAAGACUAAAGGUCCCAUGAAAGAGCUCUUCGGGUUAAAUGUGUUGCUGUGGACCAAAUGCAGGUCUUGAUUGUGCAAUUCUGUCCAGAGGUGAGACAAAAUGUCCUGUUUAAUAGUGUUUCCCUGAAGCAACAACUCUCUUAUUUUACUGUAUGCAUCUGGCAAGAACCAUCAUGCAUAAUAUAUUUGAGAGCGCUUUAGUGAGACAGAUUGACCCGGGUUUAAUGUGGACUUAAAAAUGCCACAGGUUGUACUGCAAUUUUAGGAAUGUGUUGCUAAAUGUCAGACCCGUCUGGGCAUGCCCAGUUCAGGUCAAAAUGAGUUUGCUCAGGACUAGUGUGCCAGUGUUAUGGUGCCACACGGCAGCCUGGACUUGUGUUGGGAACGGUUGGGAACCUAUAUAAACCUCGUUAGCUGUUUGAUAAACCCCUCCCCAAGCAGUGAUUGUCUAAUCAUAACUUAGCAACCUUAACUAAGCACGGAAAGCCUGUCAAGCUUUGAAUUUCAAGCUAAAAUGAUGUGCAUGGGCCUGUAGUACUGAGUAAAUACUCACAAUUUAAAGAGUUUAAAGAUUUGUGUCUUUUUUUUUAAUCAAAAACAACAGAGCAAAAGUGUUUGAAAUGGAUUAAACAGUGCGUUUAUCUGUUCAGUCUCCAGCUACAGUUGUUAGUAUGUCUAUCAUACUACUUCCAAGGCCAAGGAGUACAUCAUUAACUCACAUCAUUAAUCUGUAGAGUUACAGAUUACUGGAAAAAGGCCUGUUUACAACUACCUGUGUAUUAUUUCUCCACUGUGUGGAUGUUAUCAGAGUGUAGGUAGUGUUAGCAGAUUUUGUCCUGUUCUUUAUUUGAUUUGGGGAAGUUUACAUUCAGUCAACGUUACUUUAUAUAUUUCAGUCAUCACCCUAAAACCCUUUUCUCUUGUAAUGUUAUAAGUAAAAACUGGUGGAAAUACAAAACAGUUAAAAAGAUAUAUAUUAGAGCAAAUUAACAGCCGGAUUUUACAUUUUUCCUUGUCAUUCAUACAAUAAUACUAAUAAGACUAAAUAAGCUAGGUCUACCCUGCAAUACAAAAACAAUGCUGCUUCUUUAAUUUCCUGUUUUUUAUAUUAUAUUAUCAACUGGUGAGGAUGCUGACUUUGCCUGGAACAUUAGUCUCAGUGUUUUAGCAUUGUAAUAAUAAAGAUUUUUCCCAUUUCCCGAUUUUUUUGAAGAUUCUCAUUUUAAACGAGUCACAUGGACACAAAAAAGCAUUGUUAACCUUUAAACUAAAUAGCUAAAUUGAUAUAAUCUACCUAUGACAGUUGACAUUUCAGGCAGAAAAAUCUUGUUGCUCUCUAGAAAUGAAAAAAUGCAUUUUUCUAUGACUAUCAGAAAUUAAGGAUGAUAAUUACUAAGAAUGUUUAGAAUAAUUGUUGUAAUCCCGCUGCUGUUAUCGCAGCAUAUGUGCCAUGCGACACUCAGACAGCUUGACAGGCAUAGCAGCUGCUGGUAAAUUUACCCUGUUCUUAAACUGCAUGUUAGAUAUCAUAUGCUGCUAACUAAAAUCCUCGUGUAUUAGAAGGCAGAUUACACACAUGCCAAACUCUGCCAUGUCUGGGCUGUGCCCUCCCGUGCCUACUGAACUGGUAUCAGUGUUUUAUCUGAAAACUGGCUCAGUUCAGCAGGAACAGGAGUGGAGCCCACUAACUAGCUGGAUCAAUGUCCCGUGUUACCUCACCAACUUCCACUGAACAUGCAGCUAUACAGCCCAGCCCAGAUUCAACAUUUCUCUUGCAGUGCUCUAGUGUUGAGUUGACCACGCCCAGCACAGAGCGGUGUUUGCCUUGAGUGCCCUGAUGAAAAUCAAACCUGAACCCUCCAACCUGUCAGAGGAUGGCACUGAACCCUGAAGUCUAUUCAAGGCGGUACAGCUCGUGUUAGAUGACUGUCCCUUUCUUUGCUAAAAUAUGAAUGUUUCAUAAGCAGAUUUACCAUUUUUUGCUUGAUAGGUAGGCUCUGCUGUCCUGAGCCACUGUGUGAAUACUGUUACAUACUGAUGCAGUCGAUCUUGUUGUUCUGCUCAGCCUUCAUGUUUAAAUUCAGCAUUCUUCCCUUGAAAAGGCUGCAAACACGUCUCUCAUCCUUCCCUAUGUCUCUCUUUCUCUCUCUCUCUCUCUCUCUCUCUCUCUCUCUCUCUCUCUCUCUCUCUCUCUCUCUCUUUUCUGUCUUUCUGUGCUGUCAAAGGCCAGACUGAGACUGGAGUUCAUUGUCAGGUAAUCCUGGUGAAAUGUCUGCUAUGCCUGUAUAAUUGAUGUCACCCAGCAGUCCCCAUUAAUAGUCACUGGGAAUGUGUGCAAUGCUGCUUCCUCCCCACAUUCCAGAUAACUCACAAGCUACCAAAGGAAAAGUGCUUCAUCUUGAAGAUUUCACAGCGUACAGGAAAAUGAAAGCUCAUUAGCUAGCAUGAUGAAUCUGCUCUUAUCCAGCAACUCCACUGAUCGUGGUUGGCACCAUAAAAUUAUAUUUCUUAUUUUACUUUGAGUUUCUACAAAUAAAUGUUUCAUUCCAACCUUAAGGAGAUUGCGCAAAGAAAGGUUAGAGAGUUAUUUAUUUCAUUGUGUCAGCGGUGUGAUAUUGACUUCAAGGCAUUGCUUCAGCCAAGGAGUACCACUGACAAGUUAGCUAUGAUUUGUGUAAGCAUUUCAUUAAACUGAACGUUGAAGACAAUGGUGCAUGAAGUGCAUUAUUCUAAAUGUCAGUAAGUUUCUAACUACUUUCAGCCAUUUGGAGCAUGAUUUAUUUUGAUGUUACACAUGCAACUUAUGUUUCAUUUCAUUACUAAUUCAGCCACCAUUUAAUGUAAUAAAGAUUCAAUGAGCCUGAGAAGAAA
Molecule: long non-coding RNA, 4585 nt
Organism: Micropterus salmoides (largemouth bass)
Lineage: Eukaryota; Metazoa; Chordata; Actinopteri; Centrarchiformes; Centrarchidae
Exons: 2
Source: RefSeq, a predicted model, not a curated record